This 482-nucleotide ribosomal RNA is filed under the name uncultured bacterium. RNAcentral describes it as "partial 16S ribosomal RNA". It matches the Rfam family "Bacterial small subunit ribosomal RNA", at positions 30 to 507 of the family's 1533-position model. The record is from RNAcentral.
AUUGAACGCUGGCGGCAUGCUUUACACAUGCAAGUCGAACGGUAACAGCACUUCGGUGGCUGACGAGUGGCGAACGGGUGAGUAAUACAUCGGAACGUGCCUAGUAGUGGGGGAUAACUACUCGAAAGAGUAGCUAAUACCGCAUGAGAUCUAAGGAUGAAAGCAUGGGACCUUCGGGCCUUGCGCUACUAGAGCGGCUGAUGGCAGAUUAGGUAGUUGGUGGGAUAAAAGCUUACCAAGCCGACGAUCUGUAGCUGGUCUGAGAGGACGACCAGCCACACUGGGACUGAGACACGGCCCAGACUCCUACGGGAGGCAGCAGUGGGGAAUUUUGGACAAUGGGCGCAAGCCUGAUCCAGCAAUGCCGCGUGCAGGAUGAAGGCCUUCGGGUUGUAAACUGCUUUUGUACGGAACGAAAAGCCCUCUUCUAAUACAGGAGGGUCAUGACGGUACCGUAAGAAUAAGCACCGGCUAACUACGUG